GGGGAUGUGGCUUAGUGGUAGAGUGCUUGCCUAGCAUGCAUGAAGCCCUGGGUUCAAUUCCUCAGUACCA
This 70-nucleotide transfer RNA is filed under the name Dipodomys ordii (Ord's kangaroo rat). It matches the Rfam family "tRNA". From Rfam's summary of the family: Transfer RNA (tRNA) molecules are approximately 80 nucleotides in length. Their secondary structure includes four short double-helical elements and three loops (D, anti-codon, and T loops). The record is from Rfam by way of RNAcentral. Lineage: Eukaryota; Metazoa; Chordata; Mammalia; Rodentia; Heteromyidae.